This 813-nucleotide ribosomal RNA is filed under the name Triticum aestivum (bread wheat). RNAcentral's name for it is "partial small subunit ribosomal RNA". Lineage: Eukaryota; Viridiplantae; Streptophyta; Magnoliopsida; Poales; Poaceae. The record is from RNAcentral.
AUGGUGCGGCUAAGCAACACGGUGAUCGGGAUCCUGAACGCGGUGACCUUCCUGCUCUCGGUGCCCAUCCUGGCGGGCGGCAUCUGGCUGCGGGCGCGCGCCGACGGCACCGAGUGCGAGCGCUACCUGGCGGCGCCGGUGAUCGCGGUGGGGGUGUUCCUCAUGCUCGUCUCCAUCGCGGGGCUCGUCGGCGCCUGCUGCCGCGUCACCUGCCUCCUCUGGUUCUACCUCGUCGCCAUGUUCCUGCUCAUCGUCGUCCUCCUCGGCCUCACCGUCUUCGCCUUCGUCGUCACGCACAAGGGCACCGGGGAGGCCGUCUCCGGCCGCGGAUUCAAGGAGUACAGGCUCGGGGACUACUCCAACUGGCUGCAGAAGCGGGUGGAGAACGACAAGAACUGGAACAGGAUCAAGGGCUGCCUCCAGGACGCCAAGGUCUGCAAGUCGCUCGAGGACAAGACGGUCGACCAGUUCAUGUCCUCCGAUCUCUCCCCCAUCCAGUCCGGCUGCUGCAAGCCUCCGAUCAGCUGCGGCUUCACCUACGUCAACAGCACGCAAUGGACCGGCCCCGCCAAGUCGACGGAGCCCGACUGCGGCGCGUGGUCCAACGACGGGGCGCUCUGCUACGGCUGCCAGUCGUGCAAGGCCGGCGUGGUGGCCACCCUCAAGCGCAAUUGGAAGCGCUCCGCCAUCAUCAACAUCGUCUUCCUCGUCUUCAUCAUCAUUGUCUACUCCGUCGGCUGCUGCGCCUUCAGGAACAACCGCCGCGACCACCGCAACGGCGGCGGGUACAAGCAGCAGGGCGCGUACGCCUGA